This 512-nucleotide ribosomal RNA is filed under the name uncultured bacterium. RNAcentral's name for it is "bacterial SSU rRNA". It matches the Rfam family "Bacterial small subunit ribosomal RNA", at positions 32 to 522 of the family's 1533-position model. The record is from RNAcentral.
AAUCAACGCUGGCGGCGUGCCUAACACAUGCAAGUCGAACGCGAAAGUCCCGCAAGGGAUGAGUAGAGUGGCAAACGGGUGAGUAACGCGUGGGUGACCUGCCUUCGAGCGGGGGAUAACGUCCCGAAAGGGACGCUAAUACCGCAUAACAUCCUGCUUUUUAACAAGCGGAGAUCAAAGCUGGGGAUCGCAAGACCUAGCACUUGAAGAGGGGCCCGCGUCUGAUUAGCUAGNGGUGAGGUAACGGCUCACCAAGGCGACGAUCAGUAUCCGGCCUGAGAGGGCGGACGGACACACUGGAACUGAGACACGGUCCAGACUCCUACGGAGGCAGCAGUGGGGAAUUUUUCGCAAUGGGGGCAACCCUGACGAAGCAACGCCGCGUGGGGAUGAAGGUCUUCGGAUUGUAAACCCCUGUCGACCGGGACGAAUGUAGAACGGCCUAAUACGCCGAGCUAUUGACUGUACCGGUGGAGGAAGCCACGGCUAACUCUGUGCCAGCAGCCGCCGCA